UCGGACGUGGUGCACGGUGCACACCCGCUUGUUCUGCAUCUGAAUUUGCGUAGGAUGGGUUGUGGGAAACCUGGGUUCGACUCCCAGCGUCUGAA
Mycena leptocephala is the source of this 95-nucleotide non-coding RNA. The record is from the annotation of a GenBank genome assembly. NCBI's taxonomy places the organism in Eukaryota, Fungi, Basidiomycota, Agaricomycetes, Agaricales, Mycenaceae.